Molecule: RNA transcript, 3459 nt
Organism: Spinacia oleracea (spinach)
Lineage: Eukaryota; Viridiplantae; Streptophyta; Magnoliopsida; Caryophyllales; Amaranthaceae
Exons: 7
Source: RefSeq, a predicted model, not a curated record
UGACUCAGAGUAUAACACAUUUGAUGCAUCCUUACCAGCGAUGUUAAUUUCCAGCGCUGGUCAGGCUAGCGCUAUAAUUUUCUAGCGUUGGCUUUGCAGUUUCAGUAGAUUCAAUCUCUUCAAACGUCUAUCUUUAUUCGGCCAUUUGCACUAUAAAUACAACCCUCUUAACUCUAGAAAUCGGUACCAAAUAUUCAACAAUUAGCGCCACACCCCUUAAGCUUGAGUAUUAACUGAAGCUUUAAUAUGUCCCUCCGUGUUAACUCUUGUUAUCAAGCCUCUGUCCGUCUAAACACUCAAACCAUCCCAUUCACUGCCGAAGUUAUAGCUAAUUCUUUACCCUAAACUAAGGAAUCUAAGGGGAUACUUUGGAGGAAUCGCACCAGAAAUGAGGAACAAUCAGUCAGUUGCUGGGAAGUUCUAAACAGAAAAGGAAAUCUAGCAAGUACAAGUGAAGAAAAUUGGGGUACAUUUAUAUAGGAAAGCGGUUGAAAAUGCAAAGGUAGCUUGCGCCUGGCGCAGGUGCCUUGCUGGCGCCCGAGGCAGCGCAAGCUGCCAAACAAAGGACGAUGACACCGUCCUUUUGUGGGCGCGUUGGCAGCUGUACUUUUGUACCUUUUUGGAAGAUGGCAAAAGAUGUUUUUCUUGGAGGUUAAGAAAACUGUAGCAGCAAAGUACGUACAAUCAGUGCGAAGGACCGCGUGGAGAUUCCUGGAUGUGCGUGCAGCAUAGACUGCGCUUGGCACAGGCCAUGCGUCUGGUGCAAUUGUAGCUUAUAUACUCCUUUGGGAGUUUGGCCGAGUUCCUCCUUUACUUCACCAUAUUUCAAGUGCUCUCAAAUUUUUGGUUUUCUUCGGUUCUUGCUUUGUUCUUGCUCUUUGCCUCUAUAUGAAUCCAUGCAAGUAAUUCAAGCUUUUUGCUUUUGAGAUUACCUUAGGAGUACGUGUAGGAUUGUUUCUUGUACUUUUGAAUAUUUUUUGUAUGCAUGAGGUCUAGAAAUGUUGCUCCCUUGGGUAGGUAUAAUGAAGGGCUCUUGAUUUUGUGUGUAGAUUCGAAAAAUGUUGGAUUUUUGACCACUUUUGAGGGGAGGCCAUUCAUACCUACGGGAUUGGUAUGUUGGAAAAUGUUGAUGGUAUACUUGUAUCUUGAAAUGUUGAAAUAUUGAUAGUAGUAGGUGCUAUACCUUUUGACUUUGUAUUGGAAAUUGUAUGGAAAUUGUAAGUAAUUGAACUGUUGGAACUUAGAACUGGAAUCUUGUAUCUUGUAUUUCACAUUUGCACUUGGGAUUGUAGAUGCCCUGCGUGGCAUAACCGUUAGAGAGUAUGGAACUUCAAUUUUGUAUAGAGGCCUUGAAUGGUUUUUUUUUUUUAAUAUAGACCUCAAAGGGUCUUGCUAGGGGAAUGACAGGCUUUGGAUACCCCAAAUAUUGAUGUAGAUUUGAGCAAUUUCUUAGGCACAGAUAGCCUUGGUGUUGGUGUAGGCUCUAACUAAUCUUCUGGAAUGAGAGUACCUGGCUAAUUUGUACCGCCACUAGGGAUAAUAGGUUUGAAAUAGAGUGAUCCAGUAUAAGAUAACCCCCAUGAUUGACUUUAAAUGUUGCAUUUUGAAUUUCAGCAUGCCUCUUCGUCGCACUUGAAGGAAGAUGCUCGAAAGUUCGACUAGUCAGGCUGCCGAGGAGGAUGCCUCUAAUACUGAGGUAGGGGAGCUGGAGGAGAUACCUAUCGAAGAUCUUCUCCUCUAAAUAAGAUCCCUUUCAAUAAUCGUGGCUGGAGACCGGAGGACCUGGUGCUCAACCGAACGCACCAUUUGUCUCACCGACCGCCCAUGGGUGUGAUUGAGGAAGUAGACAUCCGAGUAUUUUGGUCUCGGGAAGAGCUCAUGAGGGCCUUCAAGCAUAUCUAGGAACGUGAUGAUACGAGAGCUCUGUUGGAGCAGUCUGGCUUUUCCCUGUUCUAUGAGGCGAUUCAGGGCUUUGAGGGAAAUACCAACAUCAAGGCGUUGUUGCAGGUUAUUUUGGACUGGUGGUUGGAAAACACUUGUACAUUUCACAUGCGCUUGGGGGAGAUCACGAUCACUCCCUUUGAUUUUGCUAUGAUUACCGGGCUCCCUUUCUAUGAGAGGGAAAACCGAUUUGGUAGUGGUUUGAGAUGGGUUAGCGCCGAUGUUCAGGCUUUAAUUGGGCCCGUUGCGACAACCGAGGCUUCUUGCCCGUUGAUAAAGAUAUUUCCUGGUGUUGAGCUACCAGGUGCUACGACAUAGCAGAGGGUUCGAUUGUUCUUGCUCAUACAUGUCUGUCAAAUGAUUAUUCCAGGCCAGGGUAGCUGUGUGUUGGCACGCCACUUAGAGCCUUUGAGGGAUCUGGGAUCUGUCUAGGGGCUAAGAUGGGGUAGCUUGGCAUACAUCCACCUUUUGUACAAGCUGAAGAAUGCCUCGAUGACUACUUUGAUGGAUCGGCAGGCAUCGCCGCCUUGAGGAUGGUGCUGGAGAUCUGGGCGUAUGAGCAUUUUUCUGGCUUGGCGCCUGCUCGCCCUCAUGGUGCGACUUACACGUUUGCUGCUUUGUGGGCUGGAGCGGAGCGCACUAGCACUUCCAUGCAUUUAUUCCGCAAGUCUUUGCGGAGUACCCAUGUUAGGGAUGUAUGAUUGUGUUUUGAGAAGUGUUGAACUUCGUAUGUAGGUAGACUAAGCUUGCUUUCUGUUGUAGGUUGUAUUUCGCCCUUUUUAUGGGGUGCCCACGCUAGAUUCGGCAGUUCGGCACCGCUUCUUGACUAAGCGGAGGGUGGUUAUCUCGGUGGUCUAUCUCCCUAUAUGGUAUUUGGGUUAGGGAGUUGUUCACCAGCAUAUCUCUGCCGACCCGCUAGUUCCUCUUGAUCUUCCUGAGUCAAUGAUGCUGGAUGCCUCGAGUGCGGAGAAGGCUUAUGUGAAAGCUCUACACCGGGAUGACGCUGGCUCGCUCUGUCUUUCUUGGGAGGAUUUUGUAGAUAGGAAAGCUCGUUAUAAGGAUUUUCUCCUUAGGAAUGCUCUGUUAGUUCGCUUUGUGGCACCGAUUAAGGAGGCUGACCCUGACGAUAUCCCUUACGCUGACAGAGUUCUCCGCUGUAUAGAUGAUGAGGGGAGGCAGGAAGAGGUUCCGGUUCUUGCGGUACCUCGUUCAGAGUGGAUGGCUGCCAAUGUCAUUCUUGAUCAUUUUGUAGCUCCUCCUCGCAAAAGGGUGCACCGCUUGAUGUAUAGUGGCGAUCUACUUGGUGAAGAGGCACUGUGUCUAGAUGAUGAUGAAUUAAAAAGUGAUACCGCAAGGGCACGGCGUCUGUUGUUAGUAGAUACCUAGCAAAUACGGGUCGAUCCCAUAGGGAGACCAGUUCUAUUAGUUUUUGCCCAAUUAUUAUAAAAUAUUUUAAUAAACAAAGUGUAAAUUUUUGUUUAUAAACUAAUGAAACCAAAACAAUAAUAUAAAUGUAUA